RNAcentral lists this ribosomal RNA (253 nucleotides) under uncultured bacterium. RNAcentral's name for it is "partial 16S ribosomal RNA". It matches the Rfam family "Bacterial small subunit ribosomal RNA", at positions 524 to 776 of the family's 1533-position model. The record is from RNAcentral.
UACGUAGGCAGCAAGCGUUGUUCGGAGUUACUGGGCGUAAAGAGUGCGUAGGCGGUUUUCUAAGUUUGGUGUGAAAUCUCCUGGCUUAACUGGGAGGGUGCGCCGAAAACUGGAGGGCUUGAGUAUGGGAGAGGUAAGCGGAAUUCCUGGUGUAGCGGUGAAAUGCGUAGAUAUCAGGAGGAACACCGGUGGUGUAGACGGCUUACUGGACCAUUACUGACGCUGAGGCACGAAAGCGUGGGUAGCAAACAGG